GGAAGGAUCAUUAACACGUGCAAACGUAUUAACCCAACUACCUUCUACAACCCGUGAACACCCCCUACCUCCCCUGAACGAUUGGACAGUGCAAUAGUAGUAGGAUACAGCAGUUUUGGCUGUUGUAUGCAAUUGUAUUGUUCUAAGGUUUCGAACCUAAGAUCGGGCUGGAGAGGCUUUUAACCCUUUUUUCCCCUACUACAAACAACCAAACCCACCUUUUUCACCUUUGAAACGUCUGUUGACUGAUGUACGUUGAGAGUAGCUUCGUGCUACUGGAUCAACACCAUUUAUCAUAACUAAGCACAACUCUUAGCAGUGGAUAUCUUGGUUCUCGCAACGAUGAAGAACGCAGCGAAAUGCGAUAUGUAAUGCGAAUUGCAGAAUUCAGUGAAUCAUCAAAUCUUUGAACGCAAAUGGCGCUCUCGGGAUAGACCUGGGAGCACGCCUCUCUGAGUAUCGGUUCAACCAUCACUCGUCUGCGUAUUGGCACUCAACAUGCCGCGGUACGUCUCGACGGACAAUGAGAGUCUAAGCUGAACGGCUUUGUCUCUUGAAAUGCAUUGAGCUUCAACCUCCUAGUACUCGUGUCGUGUAACAACGACACUAGCCUCAGUGGCUUUUAUUCGAACUAGUGACGUGGAUAACAUCACGUAGUGAUACGAAACGUCGUAGCUGGUUCGAGUAAUCUCUGGUCACUUUGGCGAACUGCUUCGGUCGGUUGCGAGCGUUUGAAUUGAUUCCGUGCGUAGGCGAUCUUCGGAUCGUGUACUGUACGUAUUGACAUUAGAUCUCAGAUGAAGCGAGAAGACCCCCUGAAUUUAAGCAUAUUAAUAAGGGGAGGAAAAGAAACUAACAAGGAUUCCCCCAGUAACGGCGAGUGAAGCGGGAUGAGCUCAAUAUGAAAAUCGUGAACCCAGGCGGGUUUUCGAAUUGUAGCCUAGAGACGUGUGAUCAGCGAUAGCCCAGGUAUAAGUCCGUUGGAAGACGGCAUCAGCGAGGGUGAGAAUCCCGUGUUUGACCUGGAGUCUGUCGCGUACGAUGCAUGUUCAUCGAGUCGAGUUGUUUGGGAUUGCAGCUCUAAAUGGGUGGUAAGUUUCAUCUAAAGCUAAAUAUUGGCGAGAGACCGAUAGCGAACAAGUACCGUGAGGGAAAGAUGAAAAGAACUUUGAAAAGAGAGUUAAAUCAGUACUUGAAAUUGCUAAGAGGGAACGGCUGAACACCAGUGCUGCUGGUUGUCAUCUUGCUAUGAAUUGAUGAACGUGAUGUGUCGAGUUGGUAACUCUCGGUGCGUCAUGCAGAGGUCAGUUUGUGGUACUGUGGCGAUUGGCGUGUCAGAAUCGGUUCGACGCGUGAGAGAAGGCAUGUAGGAAGGUAGGGUGUUUCGGCACCUGUUAUAGCCUAUGUGUUCUAUCAUGUAUUGGACCGAGGAAUCAUGUUGCGCCUGCUGGCUUGAAACGAUGCUCCGUGUGUGCAUCCAGUGCGUGGAUAACAAUGUUAUGCUGUGUUGGAUGUGUGUUCUUGAGUGUCUGCUUUCCUAUGCAACAUCGUGAUUCUGACCAAAUGGUUUUCAUCCACCCGUCUUGAAACACGGACCAAGGAGUCUAACAUAUAUGCGAGUAUUUGGGUGGGAAACCCUGGUGCGUAAUGAAAGUAAAGGUAGUUUCGGCUGCUGAGGUAGGAAUCCCGCAAGGGAGGCACUAUCGACCGAUCAUCACUUGUGAAAGAUUUGAGUAAGAGCAUAUCUGUUGGGACCCGAAAGAUGGUGAUCUAUGCCUGAACAGGGUGAAGCCAGGGGAAACUCUGGUGGAAGCUCGUAGCGAUACUGACGUGCAAAUCGUUCGUCUGAUUUGGGUAUAGGGGCGAAAGACUAAUCGAACCAUCUAGUAGCUGGUUCCCUC
RNAcentral lists this unclassified non-coding RNA (1901 nucleotides) under uncultured fungus. RNAcentral describes it as "sequence contains 18S rRNA gene, ITS1, 5.8S rRNA gene, ITS2, 28S rRNA gene". The stretch from base 789 to 1901 matches the Rfam family "Eukaryotic large subunit ribosomal RNA", at positions 1 to 961 of the family's 3401-position model. The record is from RNAcentral. Lineage: Eukaryota; Fungi.